RNAcentral lists this ribosomal RNA (504 nucleotides) under uncultured bacterium. RNAcentral describes it as "partial 16S ribosomal RNA". It matches the Rfam family "Bacterial small subunit ribosomal RNA", at positions 32 to 523 of the family's 1533-position model. The record is from RNAcentral.
AACGCUGGCGGCGCGCUUAACACAUGCAAGUCGAGCGAGAACCGGGGCUUCGGCCCCGGGGACAGCGGCGAACGGGUGAGUAACACGUGGGUAAUCUGCCCUCGGUUCUGGGAUAGCCCGGGGAAACCCGGAUUAAUACCGGAUAGCCUCUCUGGCCUUUGGGCCGGCGAGAAAAGGUAGCUUCGGCCUCCGACCGAGGAUGAGCCCGCGGCGGAUUAGCUCGUUGGUGGGGUAACGGCUCACCAAGGCGGCGGUCCGUAGCUGGUCUGAGAGGACGAUCAGCCACACUGGGACUAAGACACGGCCCAGACUCCUACGGGGGGCAGCAGGGGGGAAUCUUGCGCAAUGGGCGAAAGCCUGACGCAGCGACGCCGCGUGAGGGAAGAAGGCCUUCGGGUUGUAAACCUCUUUCAGGUGGGACGAAGCCACUCGGGUGAAUAGCCCAGAGGGUGACGGUACCUCCAGAAGAAGCCCCGGCUAACUACGUGCCAGCCGCCGCCGUAA